Molecule: ribosomal RNA, 253 nt
Filed under: uncultured bacterium
Lineage: Bacteria
Description: partial 16S ribosomal RNA
Rfam family: Bacterial small subunit ribosomal RNA
Source: RNAcentral
GACGAACCGUGCAAACGUUGUUCGGAAUCACUGGGCUUAAAGGGCGCGUAGGCGGGCUUGCAAGUCUGUGGUGAAAGCCUCCAGCUCAACUGGAGAAGUGCCGUGGAUACUGCAAGCCUUGAGGAGGGUAGGGGCAUCUGGAACUGCCGGUGGAGCGGUGAAAUGCGUUGAUAUCGGCAGGAACUCCGAUGGCGAAAGCAAGGUGCUGGACCCUUUCUGACGCUGAGGCGCGAAAGCCAGGGGAGCAAACGGG